This 256-nucleotide ribosomal RNA is filed under the name uncultured bacterium. RNAcentral describes it as "partial small subunit ribosomal RNA". It matches the Rfam family "Bacterial small subunit ribosomal RNA", at positions 26 to 284 of the family's 1533-position model. The record is from RNAcentral.
AGGACGAACGCUGGCGGCGUGCUUAACACAUGCAAGUUGAGCGGAAAGGCCCUUUUGGGGGUACUCGAGCGGCGAACGGGUGGGUAACACGUGAGUAACCUGCCCUGGACUUUGGGAUAACCCUCGGAAACGGGGGCUAAUACCGGAUAUGACACGCUCUCGCAUGGGAUGUGUGUGGAAAGUUUUUCGGUCUGGGAUGGGCUCGCGGCCUAUCAGCUUGUUGGUGGGGUGAUGGCCUACCAAGGCGACGACGGGU